This 73-nucleotide transfer RNA is filed under the name Ailuropoda melanoleuca (giant panda). It matches the Rfam family "tRNA". Rfam says of the family: Transfer RNA (tRNA) molecules are approximately 80 nucleotides in length. Their secondary structure includes four short double-helical elements and three loops (D, anti-codon, and T loops). Lineage: Eukaryota; Metazoa; Chordata; Mammalia; Carnivora; Ursidae. The record is from Rfam by way of RNAcentral.
GCCUGGCUGACUCAGUUGGUAGAGCAUGUGACUCUUGAUCUCAGGAUUGUGAGUUUGAGUCCCAUGUUGGGUG